Molecule: long non-coding RNA, 1094 nt
Organism: Theobroma umbraticum
Lineage: Eukaryota; Viridiplantae; Streptophyta; Magnoliopsida; Malvales; Malvaceae
Source: RefSeq, a predicted model, not a curated record
GAGAAGUUGAGAGAACUGGCCAUUAAGAGAGGAAAAGAAAGAAGAAAUUGCUUUGAUAGCUCCACCCGAGAGGAAGAAAAGAGAAAGAAAAGAGAAGAAAAAAGAGGAAAUGGAGGAAGGCUCAGGUUUGAGAGGAUUUAAGAGAAACCGUGGGCUUCUUACUACUUUCCUAUUGAGCCUUGAUUCUUAUUUACCAUUCAAAGUGUAGAUUGGGAGCUUGAAGGAGAUGUGUGGCUUGGUUUCAAGAUCCAAGUAAGGAAAGCAAGAUCUUCAAAGAAUCAAUGGGCUGGAUGCAUGCAUGUUGAUUAUGCACAGGUGUAUGGUGAUUUGAGACAAAGAAAUGAUGGAAAUGGUGAACAAUGUUAUGAAGAGAUAUUGAAUUGCAUGUAGAGUGCAAAGUGAUUUGGAAGGUUAAUAUCAUCGAGACUGCCAUGGUUGUGGGAAUCCGGUGGAUGGGGGCUUCCCGAAUUGUUAUUACGUGGAAGAAGGUCUACGGGUUGAUUAUCUAUGAUUACCUACUUGAGAGCCUUGAGGCUUUUUAGACUCGUACUCUUUUGCAUGGUGGAGAGAUAAUGUUUUUCCAUGGCUCUCCUAUUUAGUUGAAAGUUUUAGUGCUUUAUGUUGAUCAUGAGUUGAUAUAUGUGGAUAAACACGAUUAUUUUUACAUGCCACACAUUUUGGAAGUGUGCGUGCUUUUGUACAGCUAUUGGUAUUUUUGAAGGAAUUAUAUGAUUUCGAUGAUUGAAAUUUUAUUUUAUUACGCUUUGAGCUUUUUGAGCUAUUACAGCUUUUGUUUGCAAAAACCAGGCUGAAGUGGUUCAGAUUUUUGAAGGCUGAUUUGGUGGUUUAACAAAGGAUUCAUCAACCUUUGUUAUUUAGAGGAAGCACAAGAAAAAGGAGACUAUAAGGAACCGUUUUCGAGGCUGUCCUGCAAGGCAGCACACAGACAGUUUUAGAUGCAGAAUUUUGCUUCUAUUUGUGCUUAAUUUCCAGCAAAAAAUAUAUUUAAUUGUUACACAUUUAUUGUUGGAUAUGUGGACAGCAAAAUCAUGACAUGAUCAUGAUUAAAUAGGCUGAUUUUAAGCAAGAAAUUG